RNAcentral lists this ribosomal RNA (465 nucleotides) under uncultured bacterium. RNAcentral's name for it is "partial 16S ribosomal RNA". It matches the Rfam family "Bacterial small subunit ribosomal RNA", at positions 28 to 507 of the family's 1533-position model. The record is from RNAcentral.
GACGAACGCUGGCGGCGUGCUUAACACAUGCAAGUCGAACGGAAAGGCCCUGCUUGCAGGGUACUCGAGUGGCGAACGGGUGAGUAACACGUGGGUGAUCUGCCCUGCACUUCGGGAUAAGCCUGGGAAACUGGGUCUAAUACCGGAUAUGACCUUCCAUGUAGUGUGGGGGGUGGAAAGAUUUAUCGGUGUGGGAUGAGCCCGCGGCCUAUCAGCUUGUUGGUGGGGUAAUGGCCUACCAAGGCGUCGACGGGUGGCCGGCCUGAGAGGGUGGACGGCCACAUUGGGACUGAGAUACGGCCCAGACUCCUACGGGAGGCAGCAGUGGGGAAUAUUGCACAAUGGGCGGAAGCCUUAUGCAGCGACGCCGCGUGGGGGAUGACGGCCUUCGGGUUGUAAACCUCUUUCGACAGGGACGAAGCUUCGGUGACGGUACCUGUAUAAGAAGCACCGGCUAACUACGUG